Molecule: ribosomal RNA, 468 nt
Filed under: uncultured bacterium
Lineage: Bacteria
Description: partial 16S ribosomal RNA
Rfam family: Bacterial small subunit ribosomal RNA
Source: RNAcentral
GACGAACGCUGGCGGCGUGCUUAACACAUGCAAGUCGAACGGAAAGGCCCUGCUUUUGUGGGGUGCUCGAGUGGCGAAAGGGUGAGUAACACGUGAGUAACCUGCCCUUGACUUUGGGAUAACUUCAGGAAACUGGGGCUAAUACCGGAUAGGAGCUCCUGCUGCAUGGUGGGGGUUGGAAAGUUUCGGCGGUUGGGGAUGGACUCGCGGCUUAUCAGCUUGUUGGUGGGGUAGUGGCUUACCAAGGCUUUGACGGGUAGCCGGCCUGAGAGGGUGACCGGCCACAUUGGGACUGAGAUACGGCCCAGGCUCCUACGGGAGGCAGCAGUGGGGAAUAUUGCACAAUGGGCGGAAGCCUGAUGCAGCAACGCCGCGUGCGGGAUGACGGCCUUCGGGUUGUAAACCGCUUUCGCCUGUGACGAAGCGUGAGUGACGGUAAUGGGUAAAGAAGCACCGGCUAACUACGUG